UGACUAUUAAACCAUAGGGAGGGGAACCGUGGGGGAAAUUUCUUGCACACAGUAUCAGUGGAAAGUCUCUCUUCCCCCCUACUGCAUUAGAUACCUUUCUGGCUUCAAUGAAUCCUGAAACUCAAAGAAAGACCUGACCACAACUGCAAGGACACAUCUGCUCUGUACUGGAAGCCAAGGAAAGCCAUUAAUCAUUCAAGAUUUGCUGAAGUGUUUAUGAACUGAGCACUCCUGAACCAGAACAGGCUUUCUAGAGAAAGAACUUCUCCCAGAUGCUAAGUAAACUGCUACUGUGAGACAGGCCAACUAAAAAGCCAUUCCCAAAAAGGAAAGAAAGAGGACAUCUGUGGCUGGUGGGUGGCCUAUAAAGGGCAGGAGAAAAUGCCUAAGGAUUACAGGACUCAAUUCCACUGCCAGCACAGAUUUCAUCAGCUGCAGAGCCAAAGCAGCAAAGGUGCAGGAUCCUAACAGCACUUCUGCAAAUACAACUGUUAUGUGUAUUGAAUGCCAAAUUCAAAGAAAAAAGGCAGAAAACUUUGGUGGAUUUAAGCAUUGAGUGUGUGAGCCAUGAACUCUGGAGAACACUCCCUGAAGGUCAGCAGCACCGGGUCAGGCUCUGCAGAGCUCACCGUGGGAUGUGGGAUGCACGUCAGGUUAAUGACUUGCAAUUGCACGCAGCCUUCCCUAAAGCUGCACAUGUAGUUAAUGCAUAUCAGAACUCAGCAAGACUAUUCAAAUUACCUCAAUUUCCCAAUGAUUUAUGAUGUAGGUUUCUGACAUCGUUGGUUAUUUAUCUGUCCUCCUAGUGUUGCGAGCCAAAGCAAAGAGGGGAGAAACAGAUGCAGUAAAAUUAUGUUUGAGCAAAGGGUCAGAUGUGUUCAGAGACAGUAAUGUUGGAUAGAAGGGUAGUGAAGGACUCAAAAGUCAAAAACCUAGACAAGACAUCAGUCCAGUCCAGAGUCAAAGAAAGUGAAAGGGCCUUUCCUCAUUCUUUUUCUACAAAGGAUCAUUUCCUGACUCUGGAACAUGGAUUCGGUUCAUUUAAGUAGUUUUCCAGGGUGUAUUUUAUAUUGCAGACUGGAAGUUUUUUACGAUAUGCCACUUAUAACUUUUCACAGCCCUAAAAAGUUAGGCUUUUUAGUAGGAGAAAACCCACUUCAGACACAGCACUUACAAUAAAUGGGCCAAAUUCUGUUCUCAGUUACAGCUGUGCAACCCUCAUCCUUAGUGCAAGAAGUAUUUGAGCUUAGUAGAGGUUGCGGAUUAAAGACCUGGGGUUCCAAAACACACCCUCAGAUGCAUGUGUGUGGCUAGGACUGAAACCAGUGGGACUCCCAUGUGUACAUCCAGGGUAGACUUUGGCUUGUGAUUUUUAUUGUUUGCGCUAUUGGAUAAAAUUGAUUCCAGCGUUACAUUUCUCAGUCAGAGUUAUUUCUACAUCAUCAUGCAUCAAAAUGUUGGCUCUGAUCUCUUCUUCUUGAUGGUAGCUUUGAGGAGUAUUUGUUUUCUGAUUAGUUUGGGCCCAGCAUUAAUCAUUCUCAGGCUUCCUCUAACCCUUUUUUUUUAUUAUUUUACUGAUGGCAGAUUUAACUGUUGGCUCACCUUUAUUUCCAAAACAGAUGAGUUUUAUUAGUCUCUAAUAUUAGCCAGAUCCAAAGAGUUGAUAAAGUUAGACCAAUGUGGGCCAGAUGCUCAGCUGGGAACUGCAGCCCUGUUGAUUUGGGUAUCCUGUCUGGGAGAGUCUGACAGGGUGCCUGGGCAGGAGGAGAGCCCCAGCUCACGCAUGCAACCACGUAGAGAUGAAGGUCUGGUUCCUGGGCUCCUUCAGAUGCUCUCAAUCAACAAAGAGACCUAUUAAAUUCACUGCUUUGCAACCAGAAGGAAGAUGACCUUUCAGGGGGUAUGUUUUAAUAGUUGGAGAGAUGUAUUCCAUAGAAUUGUUAGGGUUGAAAGGGACCUUUAAAAGUCAUCUAGUCCAACUCCACCCUGCAGUGAGCAGGGACAUCUUCAACUAGAUCAGGUUGCUCAGGACCCUGUAUUUCUUUAUGUUGGUAGAAGAAUGAUUCUGAACAAGACAAUAAAAUCUUUGGCAAGGAGCUGUUCUUGGAUCAGGAGCUUACAUCUCCUAACAUUUUCUAUCUUUGAAACUUGUGUCAGUCUCUCAUCUAAAAGCCAGGUAUCAGAUUCAGCAACACAUGUAAUUUCAUGAAGGGUGUUUCUUCUUUCUUGUUUUGUUUUUACUACUUCUGCUUUUCCUUCUGUUAGGGAAUGAGAGUCGCAGUUUGUGCAUGGCUCUACGUCCGCAGGAAGUGUUCAGCUGUGCCGUUUGCAAGGAUUGUGUAAAGGCUCAUAAAUGAAAGGGGAAAUGGGUGCCAAGAGGAAUUUCAUGUUGCCACGAGGAGGGCUUAUGGAGGCUCUUCUGAGAGGAUGAAAUAUGUGAAUA
Corvus hawaiiensis (hawaiian crow) is the source of this 2443-nucleotide long non-coding RNA. RefSeq lists it as uncharacterized. The record is from RefSeq and is a predicted model, not a curated record. The transcript has 5 exons. NCBI's taxonomy places the organism in Eukaryota, Metazoa, Chordata, Aves, Passeriformes, Corvidae.